GACGAACGCUGGCGGCGUGCUUAACACAUGCAAGUCGAACGAUGAAGAAAAGAAUCGAAGCUUCGGCAGAAAUUCAUUUCGGAUUAGUGGCAGACGGGUGAGUAACGCGUGAGCAACCUACCUCUUACAAAGGGAAGGCCUCGGGAAACCGGGAUUAAUACCAUAUACCAUUGUGACGAAGCAUUUGGUUGCAAUCAAAGCUACGGCGGAAAGGGAUGGGCUCGCGUCCCAUUAACCGGAUGGUGAGGUAACGGCUCACCAUAGUGACGAUGGGUAACCGGCCUGAGAGGGUGAACGGUCACACUGGAACUGAGACACGGUCCAGACUCCUACGGGAGGCAGCAGUGGGGAAUAUUGCACAAUGGAGGGAACUCUGAUGCAGCGACGCCGCGUGAGUGAUGAAGGAAUUCGUUUCGUAAAACUCUGUUCUAUGGGAAGAAAAGGACUGUACCAUAGGAGAAAGCUCCGGCUAAAUACGUG
RNAcentral lists this ribosomal RNA (480 nucleotides) under uncultured bacterium. Its description in RNAcentral is "partial 16S ribosomal RNA". It matches the Rfam family "Bacterial small subunit ribosomal RNA", at positions 28 to 507 of the family's 1533-position model. The record is from RNAcentral.